AUAUUUCACAAUUGCCCAGCUGAUGUCUAUGUUCACUUACCUUCAGAUAUACUCUCAGAGAAUAAGUGUCCCCAAACCAUAAUAUAGUACCCUCGACCAAUUGACAGUUUUAUGAGUAUCACACAAAUAAUAAACUAAUGAACUUGGCAUAAGAUACUACGAAUACCAAGUAAUAGAUGAAUAUGAAAUCAGCAUAAGCUAAUUUGAUAAUAUAAUGCCAUAAGUAUAGAA
RNAcentral lists this unclassified non-coding RNA (231 nucleotides) under Hevea brasiliensis (rubber tree). The record is from RNAcentral. Lineage: Eukaryota; Viridiplantae; Streptophyta; Magnoliopsida; Malpighiales; Euphorbiaceae.